GGCUAGUUUACACCAGCAAGGCUCACGAGAUCGAUCUCAGCGAAGGAAUAAAGUCUUUGGCUGGUUCCUGAAAAGUCCAUUAUGCCCCCAUUGACUUAAUCAGUCGACUAAAUACGAACCUUGAUCAUCUGGCAGCCAUAAAGAUGAAGACUGCACUUUCGGGUAAUCAGAAAUAGACUUUCCAGAUGGCUGGUCAGUGAGUAGCCAGAUGGUUCCCAGGUGGCUUCAAGAGAACUUGGAAUCGACUGAAGGACAUUGCAUGAAAACAUACUUUAUAAUGCAUCAAGCCAAAUGUUUGUAUUUUCAGUUAGUAUCCUCAACCAAGCGUGAUUUUGUCGUAGGCCAUCUUUGGAAAGAGUCUGAAACGCCAUGACCACAAGCAACAAGGAAUGUCGAGGCAAUGAUUCUGCAUUUCAAGCUUAUCGAACUUACUCUCCGUGACGUAACGUCCCAAUUCGCUGUUUCCACAUCAAGAUUCAACAUUCACGAGAUCAGCUACGAAUCACGAAUCGCAAUUUACUCUAAGACCAAUCGGUCACAUUCCAGCAAGCAGCGAUUCCAAGUUCAUUUCCUGUACAGACCAGUUUGUUGCUUCCAGGAGGCUGGAUGUUUCUGAUUUGCUUUGGGAAGAAAAGAGGCUUCGAGUUUAAGAACAAGGAACUUGUGAAUAUUAUUGUUCAUUUUACUGUCUGUUUAUAUAAUUCAUUGGUUAUA
Long non-coding RNA from Macrobrachium nipponense, 714 nucleotides. RefSeq lists it as uncharacterized. The transcript has 3 exons. NCBI's taxonomy places the organism in Eukaryota, Metazoa, Arthropoda, Malacostraca, Decapoda, Palaemonidae. The record is from RefSeq and is a predicted model, not a curated record.